Long non-coding RNA from Seriola dumerili (greater amberjack), 250 nucleotides. RefSeq lists it as uncharacterized. Lineage: Eukaryota; Metazoa; Chordata; Actinopteri; Carangiformes; Carangidae. The record is from RefSeq and is a predicted model, not a curated record. The transcript is spliced from 3 exons.
ACUGGAUACAAUGAAUGAUGAGGAAUUACUGAUAGGAUAUCUGAAGGAGAAGCUGCAGUCAGUUUGAAUUGCAUCCCCAACAAACUCAAUGGUUCAUCAGUUCAAAUGGCAUCCUGACAAGAGAGGGGCAGACAACUUCCUAGUCGACUACUAAAAGCUGCCUAUACAGACUGGAUAGGCAGACAGGAAGCCCGAGGACUCUGCUGCAUUAAGUUCAGGCUCAGUUCCACUAUUACCUGCACUUAAGGAG